This 259-nucleotide long non-coding RNA is filed under the name Elaeis guineensis (African oil palm). Its description in RNAcentral is "long non-coding RNA (EGUI_LNC026959)". Lineage: Eukaryota; Viridiplantae; Streptophyta; Magnoliopsida; Arecales; Arecaceae. The record is from RNAcentral.
UAUUUUUUUAUUAUUAUUUAUAUAUUUUUUAUACAUAAUAUUAUGUUUUAAACUAAUUUAGAUAGUUCUUUUAACAUGACAUUUUCUUCCUCAACUUUUUUUCGAGACACAUUUGAAGAUCACAAACCAUAUAGCAUUCUAAUACUUAAAAUUAAACAAACAAAAUAUCUAAAACUUUGAUAAAAAUAAUAAUUAAUAAUAUAAGAUAGAAUAAAAAAUACAGUUUACAAAAAAAUAUCACAGCACUAUAAAUCCAAAA